AACGCUAGCUACAGGCUUAACACAUGCGAGUCGCGGGGUAACGAGAGGGAAGCUUGCUUUCCUUGUCGACGACCGGCGCACGGGUGAGUAACGCGUAUCCAACCUGCCCAUUACCACGGGAUACCCCGUCGAAAGGCGGCCUAAUACCGUAUGCAGUCGUCAGAUGACAUCAGAGGACGACGAAAGGAUUGGCGGUAAUGGAUGGGGAUGCGUCUGAUUAGGUAGUUGGAGGGGUAACGGCCCACCAAGCCAUCGAUCAGUAGGGGUUCUGAGAGGAAGGUCCCCCACAUUGGAACUGAGACACGGUCCAAACUCCUACGGGAGGCAGCAGUGAGGAAUAUUGGUCAAUGGGCGCGAGCCUGAACCAGCCAAGUAGCGUGAGGGAUGACGGCCCUAUGGGUUGUAAACCUCUUUUAUGCGGGAAUAAAAUGUUUGACGUGUCAUACAUUGUAGGUACCGCAAGAAUAAGGACCGGCUAAUUCCGUGCCAGCAGCCGCGGUAAUACGGAAGGUCCAGGCGUUAUCCGGAUUUAUUGGGUUUAAAGGGAGCGUAGGCCGCAAGUCAAGCGUGUUGUGAAAUGCAGGGGCUCAACCUCUGGAUUGCAGCGCGAACUGGCAUGCUUGAGUACGCACGAGGUAGGCGGAAUUUGUGGUGUAGCGGUGAAAUGCUUAGAUAUCACGAAGAACUCCGAUUG
Molecule: ribosomal RNA, 694 nt
Filed under: uncultured bacterium
Lineage: Bacteria
Description: bacterial SSU rRNA
Rfam family: Bacterial small subunit ribosomal RNA
Source: RNAcentral